CCUACGGGUGACUGCAGUGGGGGAUAUUUCACAAUGGGGGAAACCCUGAUGCAGCGACGCCGCGUGGGUGAAGAAGUAUUUCGGUAUGUAAAGCCCUAUCAGCAGGGAAGAAAGAAGACGUUACCUGUCUAAGAAUCUCCGGAUAACUACGUGCCAGCAGCCGCGGUAAUACGUAGGUGGCGAGCGUUAGCCGGAUUCCCUGGGUGUAAAGGGAGCGUAGACGGCCGUGCAGGCCAGGCGUGAAAGCCCGGGGCCCAACCCCGUGACUGCUUUGGGAACUGUGCGGAUAGAGUGCGGGAGGGGCAGGCGGAAUUCCUGGUGUAGGGGUGAAAGGCGUAGAUAUCAGGAGGAACACCGGCGGCGAAGGCGGCCUGCUGGACCGCGACUGACGUUGAGGCUCGAAAGCGUGGGGAGCGAACAGGAUUAGAUACCCGGGUAGUC
This 441-nucleotide ribosomal RNA is filed under the name uncultured bacterium. RNAcentral's name for it is "partial 16S ribosomal RNA". It matches the Rfam family "Bacterial small subunit ribosomal RNA", at positions 338 to 795 of the family's 1533-position model. The record is from RNAcentral.